This 459-nucleotide ribosomal RNA is filed under the name uncultured bacterium. RNAcentral describes it as "partial 16S ribosomal RNA". It matches the Rfam family "Bacterial small subunit ribosomal RNA", at positions 338 to 795 of the family's 1533-position model. The record is from RNAcentral.
CCUACGGGCGGCAGCAGUGAGGAAUAUUGGUCAAUGGGCGCGAGCCUGAACCAGCCAAGUAGCGUGAAGGAUGACUGCCCUAGGGGUUGUAAACUUCGUUUAUAAAGGAAUAAAGUGAGGCUCGCGAGCCUUUUGUAUGUACUUUAUGAAUAGGGAUCGGCCAAGUCCGUGCGAGCAUCAGCGGUAAUACGCUGGAUCCGAGCGUUUUCCGGAUUUAGUGGGGUUAAAGGGAGCGUAAGUGGGUUGCUAAGUGAGUUGGGAAAGUUUGCGGCUCAACCGUAAAAUUGGAAUUGAUACUGGCUGUCUUGAGUGCAGUUGAGGUAGGCGGAAUGCGUGGUGUAGCGGUGAAAUGCUUAGAUAUUACGAAGAACUCCGAUUGCGAAGGCAGCUUACUAGCCUGCCACUGACAUUGAUGCUCGAAAGUGUGGGUAUCAAACAGGAUUAGAUACCCUGGUAGUC